RNAcentral lists this ribosomal RNA (803 nucleotides) under uncultured Pelagibacteraceae bacterium. Its description in RNAcentral is "bacterial SSU rRNA". It matches the Rfam family "Bacterial small subunit ribosomal RNA", at positions 34 to 885 of the family's 1533-position model. Lineage: Bacteria; Pseudomonadati; Pseudomonadota; Alphaproteobacteria; Candidatus Pelagibacterales; Candidatus Pelagibacteraceae. The record is from RNAcentral.
CGCUGGCGGCACGCCUAACACAUGCAAGUCGAACGAAGUAGCAAUACUUAGUGGCGAACGGGUGAGUAUAAUAUGGGUAUCUGCCUUUUGGUUUGGAAUAACACGGGGAAACUUGUGCUAAUACCGGAUAAGCCUUUACAGGGAAAGUUUUAACGCCAAAAGAUGAGCCCAUACUUGAUUAGCUUGUUGGUAAGGUAAUGGCUUACCAAGGCUACGAUCAAUAGCUGAUCUGAGAGGAUGAUCAGCCACAUUGGGACUGAGACACGGCCCAAACUCCUACGGGAGGCAGCAGUGGGGAAUCUUGCACAAUGGGGGAAACCCUGAUGCAGCGAUGCCGCGUGAGUGAAGAAGGCCUUUGGGUUGUAAAGCUCUUUCGUCGGGGAAGAAAAUGACUGUACCCGAAUAAGAAGGUCCGGCUAACUUCGUGCCAGCAGCCGCGGUAAUACGAAGGGACCUAGCGUAGUUCGGAAUUACUGGGCUUAAAGAGCUCGUAGGUGGUUAGAAAAGUUGGUGGUGAAAUCCCAAGGCUUAACCUUGGAACUGCCACCAAAACUUUUUGACUAGAGUAUGAUAGAGGUAAGUGGAAUUUCUAGUGUAGAGGUGAAAUUCGUAGAUAUUAGAAAGAACACCAAUUGCGAAGGCAACUUUCUGGAUCAUUACUGACACUGAGGAGCGAAAGCAUGGGUAGCGAAGAGGAUUAGAUACCCUCGUAGUCCAUGCUGUAAACGAUGUGUGCUAGACGUUGGAAAUUUUAUUUUCAGUGUCGCAGCAAAAGCAUUAAGCACACCGCCUGGGGAGUACGA